UUCCAGCAUCAAAGACAUUGCAGUAUUUCCAAGAGCUAUCAGGCAGGGUGGGGGUGACAGGUUUCAGAGAUUUACUCAAGUGAAAAUCUGCACACACAAGCCAGAGCAGGCAUGAGGGGCGCCUGCCCUACACAUUACUUCAUCACAGUCUAACCCUGGCACACUGAAGGCUUACAGCUUGACAAAGUGGCUGGUGGUUGGGCUGCUUUCUGGAAUCCACACCCACUGGAAGCCUUGGAGUGUGAAGACAGAGUCAGCCCAAGGACAGCCCCUGCUGUAAUGGGAGACAUGCUUUCCACACUACCUGUCCAUUCUGGCUCUUGGCCCUGGGCUUUGCUUGGUGACAUUGUAAGGAUUCAGUCCUUAAUUACAUCAUCAGCCUGAGAUGGCGUACCAGCCUAAAAACACUCUCCUCCAUCAGCAUGGCCUCCACAGGUGGUGGCCAGGCAUGAGCAGCAAGCAGGGUAACCAACAUUGGUGCCAUUCGGACUCGGAUACACCACCAAGCACCGAGGACCUGCUGUGACCGCUGCCACCUGCCACCUCUUCCCCCAUCCAGGGAGACUGGGAGACAGUGAGACCGCGAGACUGUGAGUGCCACCUCCACUGGACCCCCACACAACUACCACUACCAUCACCACAUUCCCUUGUUCUAACUCACUGUUCAGCUAAUGGUACAGGACCACCACAGAACCGGAGUCCAGAGAUCAUCACAUGAGAAACUAUAACAACUAAAGUUUUUUUCUGUGUCACUAGCAUCUUGUCAAACAGAAAGUUCCCAGCCACAGCCAAGAGGGAUACAUGUCUCCAGAGCAAACAGGUAACAGACAGCAUCCCAUAUUGCCUGUCUACCUUAGAAGACUCAAGAGGCAACCGACGGCCAAUUGUCAGCUGGAAGCAGUUUUUGAGAGGAACAAUGCCCCUAUUCCCAUCUACCUGCUUUUUUUAUAAUAAAAAAAGUCUGGGAUGUAA
Peromyscus maniculatus bairdii (prairie deer mouse) is the source of this 972-nucleotide non-coding RNA. Lineage: Eukaryota; Metazoa; Chordata; Mammalia; Rodentia; Cricetidae. The record is from RefSeq and is a predicted model, not a curated record.